AUUAGGAGCUAUAUAUACAUUACUUAAUUUAAUUCUAAUAACAAGUAUAUUACCUGCUUUUUAUCCUUAUUUCACAGAUCAAGAAACUGAGUCUCAAAAAAUAUUUGAUGGAAGUCUAUCUGGGUCUAAUGCCAGGGCUUCUAACCAAUCCACACUAUAAUGUUUGAAUACAAAGAAAUAUCCUGGCAUUGGUUGGAACCACUCCAUCUUUUCCUCUGCAAACUCUCUUCAGGCCUGGUGACAGAGAACUUCACCAAGGUACCCUGUUCUGAUCCAAGUCCUGUGACCCCUUUCUGCCAUGAGGGUCCUUUCGUUGACUCGCACACCUGAGGAUACAUCCAUUACAGAGCAGGUCAUGUGAACGUACCCCAACCCUGAUGCCAGGCGUUAUUCACUGGGCUCAAAAGAGGACAUCUGGUUCAAGAUGACUCACUGAUUUUCUCUCCUGGAAAUCUGCAAGGUGGAUCCAGAAGUUCUAGUUAAGGUAAUAGGAGCUUUUACUGUGCUGCCUUCCAUGUUCAAAACAGGAAGAGGCUAGAUCUACAAAAAGGCAAAUGCUCAGAAAGAUGCCAGCAAGGUACUGAGUGAUAGAUAAGCAUUUGGAGGGGAUGAGGGAGAAGGAGCUAGGGAACCAGGAGACUGAAAGAGAAUAGAGAGUAACUUAGCCCCUAACUGCUCGCUUCUUGGAAUUCUUGCCCUUAAGUUCUAUAGAUUAUCCUUGUACGCUAGUAAAACUUACUUUGUUUGCUUCUGUGUUUUAAUCCAAUUUACACAAGUGUGUUACUCUCUGCAAAAUGAUUCCUAGGAGAGUAUGAAUACAUCUGGUAAGUAAUUGAAGCAUUCCUUCCAAACUAUAAUACCUCCCAUAUAAUUUUUGAUAUGUAUAUUUUCUUUUUUUUUUUUUUUUUUAAAGAUUUUAUUUAUUUAUUUGACAGAGAUAGAGACAGCCAGGGAGAGAGGGAACACAAGCAGGGGGAGUGGGAGAGGAAGAAGCAGGCUCACAGCAGAGGAGCCUGACGUGGGGCUCGAUCCCAUAACGCCGGGAUCACGCCCUGAGCCGAAGGCAGACGCUUAACCGCUGUGCCACCCAGGCGCCCC
Molecule: long non-coding RNA, 1098 nt
Filed under: Ailuropoda melanoleuca (giant panda)
Lineage: Eukaryota; Metazoa; Chordata; Mammalia; Carnivora; Ursidae
Description: lncRNA (ENSAMEG00000028813.1)
Source: RNAcentral